Molecule: transfer RNA, 70 nt
Filed under: Sphaerodactylus townsendi
Lineage: Eukaryota; Metazoa; Chordata; Lepidosauria; Squamata; Sphaerodactylidae
Description: tRNA-Ala
Rfam family: tRNA
About the family: Transfer RNA (tRNA) molecules are approximately 80 nucleotides in length. Their secondary structure includes four short double-helical elements and three loops (D, anti-codon, and T loops). Further hydrogen bonds mediate the characteristic L-shaped molecular structure. tRNAs have two regions of fundamental functional importance: the anti-codon, which is responsible for specific mRNA codon recognition, and the 3' end, to which the tRNAs corresponding amino acid is attached (by aminoacyl-tRNA synthetases). tRNAs cope with the degeneracy of the genetic code in two manners: having more than one tRNA (with a specific anti-codon) for a particular amino acid; and 'wobble' base-pairing, i.e. permitting non-standard base-pairing at the 3rd anti-codon position.
Source: RNAcentral
GGCUGUGGCUCAGUGGCAGAGAAUGUGUUUUGCAUGCAAAAGGUCCCGGGUUCUAUUCCUGGCAUCCCCA